This 404-nucleotide long non-coding RNA is filed under the name Physcomitrium patens. RNAcentral's name for it is "long non-coding RNA (PPAT_LNC003165)". Lineage: Eukaryota; Viridiplantae; Streptophyta; Bryopsida; Funariales; Funariaceae. The record is from RNAcentral.
AGAAAAUCAAGUCUUCUAGUGAUAAAACCAAAAAUCUCUCUAAUCCAAUUAGUAGAUUGCUAGAUAUCUAAGAAAACCUUACUAGUCUUCAAAACCCUAAACUCCAAGACCUUAGCCCACAAAAACCUUCAUAUGUAUUGAUCUGGCUAUUCAAUUGACUUCAAAUAUCUUGUACACAUUCACAACAAGCAUACCAAUAAGUUUCUAAAUUUUCACCUAUAAAAAUGCUACAAAAGACACGAAAUCUAAAAAUUUGUAAACUGGUUUUAUUUCUCAAAGAUCUGGAUUUAUAGAGAACAUCACUUGCUUUGAAAAUCCCUCAAAAAUCCAAAACUGAUCCAAAUGACACGAAAUUACCUCUCAAAAAUCCCUCCACAAGUCUUCUCUCUAAUUCAACUCUCCAA